Long non-coding RNA from Brassica napus (rape), 774 nucleotides. RefSeq lists it as uncharacterized. Lineage: Eukaryota; Viridiplantae; Streptophyta; Magnoliopsida; Brassicales; Brassicaceae. The record is from RefSeq and is a predicted model, not a curated record. The transcript is spliced from 2 exons.
AGUUUCUUCACGAUAUCAAAUGUUGUCAGCUUUAUACUGUAAACAACAUGAACAAAAAAAAUGUUGGCUGGCUUCUUCACAUUAGUCUAUAUAUAUAUAAAUAAGAAACUUACCUGCUGUUUGGCAUGCUUUUCAGGGCAUUGGGGACAAACCCACGGUACAAUCCAAUCACUCCUUCACGCUCAAUUAUACCUAUCAAUCAUUUUUUAGGAUAAACCGAGGGAGUACCCUUCAAUUGCAUCUGUCUUCUAAUGGUAUCCAACGGAUAGCAAGUACCCGUAGCAAUAGCAGCAGCUACCACUGCUGUUAGUAGAGAUGCCUGUGUCUUCUUUUGAUACUUCUCUGGCAAAGAUUUCUUUACCCUGCAUCCCGAGUGUUUUAAUAAUAAUGUAAACAAACCUUCACUGAAACAUUUUGCAGGGGGUAACUGUUAGCAGCAGACUUACAGAUCAAAGACGCAGAAGUUGAGGGCAAUGUAAGGAGCUAUACUUAAAAGCGAAGGACCCAGACCGUUAUAAAAUGAUGCAACUCCUUCCUCCCUCAGCAUGUUCAAGGCUACCUACAUGUGACAUGUUUGCGUUUUCUUAAAAAUAUUUUUGAAGAGUUUAUGGAGCUUUCUUUAGAGUUGGUCUAAAAUCUAAUUACCAUACCUGGGACAUGGUUCGAUACCCCGGUUCAACAGCUAACCUCAACCUCAGCACAUCUAAAGGAUAUGUUAUCUGCAUAAAAACAUAAACAGAUUCUUAAAGAUAUUUAAGAUUUUUCGUGAGACUA